GUGGGGAAUUUUGGACAAUGGGCGCAAGCCUGAUCCAGCAAUGCCGCGUGCAGGAAGAAGGCCUUCGGGUUGUAAACUGCUUUUGUACGGAACGAAACGGUCCGGGUUAAUACCCUGGGCUAAUGACGGUACCGUAAGAAUAAGCACCGGCUAACUACGUGCCAGCAGCCGCGGUAAUACGUAGGGUGCAAGCGUUAAUCGGAAUUACUGGGCGUAAAGCGUGCGCAGGCGGUUUUGUAAGACAGGCGUGAAAUCCCCGGGCUCAACCUGGGAAUUGCGCUUGUGACGGCAAGGCUGGAGUGCGGCAGAGGGGGAUGGAAUUCCGCGUGUAGCAGUGAAAUGCGUAGAUAUGCGGAGGAACACCGAUGGCGAAGGCAAUCCCCUGGGCCUGCACUGACGCUCAUGCACGAAAGCGUGGGGAGCAAACAGGAUUAGAAACCCGGGUAGUCC
Molecule: ribosomal RNA, 450 nt
Filed under: uncultured bacterium
Lineage: Bacteria
Description: partial 16S ribosomal RNA
Rfam family: Bacterial small subunit ribosomal RNA
Source: RNAcentral